Molecule: ribosomal RNA, 494 nt
Filed under: uncultured bacterium
Lineage: Bacteria
Description: partial 16S ribosomal RNA
Rfam family: Bacterial small subunit ribosomal RNA
Source: RNAcentral
GACGAACGCUGGCGGCGCGCUUAACACAUGCAAGUCGAACGGAGAGGCCUGCUUUCCCUUGUGGAUUGCGGGUACUCGAGUGGCGAACGGGUGAGUAACACGUGAGUGAUCUGCCCCCAACUUGGGUAUAAGCCUGGGAAACUGGGUCUAAUUCCCGAUAGGACUGCAGGGUGGUGCCUGUGGUGGAAAACGAUUUUCUAGUGGUUGGGGAUGAGCUCGCGGCCUAUCAGCUUGUUGGUGGGGUAAUGGCCUACCAAGGCGGCGACGGGUAGCCGGCCUGGGAGGGUGGACGGCCACAUUGGGACUGAGAUACGGCCCAGACUCCUACGGGAGGCAGCAGUGGGGAAUAGUGCACAAUGGGCGGAAGCCUGAUGCAGCGACGCCGCGUGGGGGAUGACGGCCUUCGGGUGGUAAACUCCUUUCGACCGCGAGGAAGCCACCUGGUUGGAAGGGUGGUGACGGUAGUGGUAGAAGAAGCACCGGCUAACUACGUG